RNAcentral lists this long non-coding RNA (868 nucleotides) under Carica papaya (papaya). RNAcentral describes it as "long non-coding RNA (CPAP_LNC000358)". Lineage: Eukaryota; Viridiplantae; Streptophyta; Magnoliopsida; Brassicales; Caricaceae. The record is from RNAcentral.
AAUAUAAUUUAUACACAAAUCAAUAAAUUACUCAACAUUUAUUAGGACAUCACUACUAAUUUAUGAAUAGAUAAAUAAUAAAUUAUUUAACAUUCUACAAGUUUAUAAUUAAUUAAAAAACCAUAUACUAGCAUUUAAUAAAAAAUAAACAAAUAAUGAGCACAUACAUCCAUAAACCACAUACAUAGAAAUUAAUAUAUGUUGUUGAUUCCUUGAAUUUUCACCAUAAACUACAUAUAUCCAUUCUAUUAUCAAAAUUUUUUAUCCUCAUUGUAUCUUCUCAAACCACAUUCAUCAACAUCAAUUUCUAUGAAUUUGCUUUUACUCCAUCUUUCAAAUUAAAAUCAUCUAGAAAUCAAAUAUAAUAUGACAAAAUCUAUUAAUAAUGAGUUAUGAAAAAAUUAUAUAAAAUUAAAUUUCAUGAUUCAUAUUAUUUGAAAGUCUUAAGGUUACAUGAUUUCUUAUCUCCAUCCAUCAAACUAAUCCAAUGUAAUAGUUACUUCAUUAGGAUUCAAUUAACUCAAUUCUAUGUUGAUUAAUUAUAAAAAGAAAAAGAUAAACAUAAAGUUAAAAAUGAGUAUAUCGAAAUAGGAUAAUUGAGUAAAUGAUAAUAUUCUAGAUCUUCUUGUAGGUUUACCACAAGUCUACUUUCAACAUAACCUUAUAUAUGAACUAGAUUUUUUGCCAUCUACAUUAAGAAAAAGAAAAUAUUUCAUCAAUGACAAUAUUUUUGUAUAUUCUUUAGAAAAAGGAUAUUAAAAAAUAUCACAUGUUAAGGCUUAAAAAACUCCUACAUUGAUCAAGUGUAUGCCCUCUAAUACUAAAUACAAACUCAGAAGCUACUAUAACUAUGGACAUUGCAAGCACA